CUCCUCCUCCUGCAGCAGCUCUUUCUCUGGGUAGGGCAAUUCUGAACUAACUGAGCAUGCUAAGGCAACUUGGGCGCUACCGCUGUGGCAGCUUUGCCCUGCUGCGCAUAGAAACCCGGGAGGCUGCCAGUGCUGAGCAAGC
This is a non-coding RNA of Pseudonaja textilis, 142 nucleotides long. The record is from RefSeq and is a predicted model, not a curated record. Lineage: Eukaryota; Metazoa; Chordata; Lepidosauria; Squamata; Elapidae.